This 352-nucleotide ribosomal RNA is filed under the name uncultured bacterium. RNAcentral describes it as "bacterial SSU rRNA". It matches the Rfam family "Bacterial small subunit ribosomal RNA", at positions 72 to 423 of the family's 1533-position model. The record is from RNAcentral.
UGUUAUAGCAAUAUGACACCAAGAGUGACGCACGGGUGCGUAACACGUAUGCAACCUACCCUUUACAGGCGGAUAGCUCGGGGAAACUCGAAUUAACCCGCCAUAAUAUAAUUGGAUGGCAUCAUUUGAUUAUUAAAUCUGCGGAGGUAAAGGAUGGGCAUGCGUCUGAUUAGUUAGUUGGUAGUGUAACGGACUACCAAGACGAUGAUCAGUAGGGGAACUGAGAGGUUGAUCCCCCACACUGGCACUGAGAUACGGGCCAGACUCCUACGGGAGGCAGCAGUAGGGAAUAUUGGUCAGUGGGUGAGAGCCUGAACCAGCCAUGCCGCGUGCAGGAAGAAGGCCUUCUGGG